UUCAUACUCCCUCAUCCGAAAAUACCUGUCAUCAAAAUAGAUAAAAAAAGAUGUAUCUAGAACUAAAAUUUGUCUAGAUGCAUCCCCUUUUAUCCAUUUUGAUGACAAGUAUUUCUGGACAGAGGGAGAACAUC
Molecule: non-coding RNA, 134 nt
Organism: Triticum aestivum (bread wheat)
Lineage: Eukaryota; Viridiplantae; Streptophyta; Magnoliopsida; Poales; Poaceae
Source: Rfam